This 96-nucleotide small RNA is filed under the name Caballeronia concitans. RNAcentral describes it as "Burkholderia sRNA Bp1_Cand612_SIPHT". It matches the Rfam family "Burkholderia sRNA Bp1_Cand612_SIPHT". The record is from Rfam by way of RNAcentral. Lineage: Bacteria; Pseudomonadati; Pseudomonadota; Betaproteobacteria; Burkholderiales; Burkholderiaceae.
AAAAAAAAUGGGCGCAACGCCCAUCAUUUUCAACCGAGGUCGCACCCGGGCAGCGCGAAAACUAUGUGCCCAGCGACUUCGUGAUUUUAGCCAUUU